Small nuclear RNA from Peromyscus maniculatus bairdii (prairie deer mouse), 104 nucleotides. The record is from Ensembl. Lineage: Eukaryota; Metazoa; Chordata; Mammalia; Rodentia; Cricetidae.
UGGCUCGCCUCAGCAGCUCAUACGAUAAAAUUGGAAUGAUGCAGAGAUUAGCACGGCCCCUGUGCAAGGAUGACCUGCAAAUUCCUGAGGCGGUCCUUAUGUUC